This 465-nucleotide ribosomal RNA is filed under the name uncultured bacterium. Its description in RNAcentral is "partial 16S ribosomal RNA". It matches the Rfam family "Bacterial small subunit ribosomal RNA", at positions 28 to 507 of the family's 1533-position model. The record is from RNAcentral.
GAUGAACGCUGGCGGCGUGCUUAACACAUGCAAGUCGAACGGAAAGGCUCCUGCUUGCAGGGGUACUCGAGUGGCGAACGGGUGAGUAACACGUGGGUGAUCUGCCCUGCACUUCGGGAUAAGCCUGGGAAACUGGGUCUAAUACCGGAUAGGACCACAUUUUGGAUGGUGUGGUGGAAAGUUUUUCGGUGUGGGAUGAGCUCGCGGCCUAUCAGCUUGUUGGUGGGGUAAUGGACUACCAAGGCGUCGACGGGUAGCCGGCCUGAGAGGGUGUACGGCCACAUUGGGACUGAGAUACGGCCCAGACUCCUACGGGAGGCAGCAGUGGGGAAUAUUGCACAAUGGGCGCAAGCCUGAUGCAGCGACGCCGCGUGGGGGAUGACGGCCUUCGGGUUGUAAACUCCUUUCGCUAGGGACGAAGCGCAAGUGACGGUACCUGGAGAAGAAGCACCGGCUAACUACGUG